This 369-nucleotide ribosomal RNA is filed under the name Blastocystis hominis. RNAcentral's name for it is "SSU rRNA". It matches the Rfam family "Eukaryotic small subunit ribosomal RNA", at positions 569 to 948 of the family's 1831-position model. Lineage: Eukaryota; Bigyra; Opalinata; Blastocystidae. The record is from RNAcentral.
AGCAGCCGCGGUAAUUCCAGCUCCAAUAGCGUAUAUUAACGUUGUUGCAGUUAAAAAGCUCGUAGUUGAAGUGUGGGUGAUCGCUGUUGUGAGACUUCGGUCUCUCGACAGUAAGUCACCCCCUUCCAGAAUCCAGUAGUGGGUAUUCACUUACUUACUAUUGUGUGUUGGUCCUUUACUGUGAGAAAAUUAGAGUGUUCAAAGCAGGCGUUUGCUUGAAUAGAUUAGCAUGGAAUAAUAAUUGAAGGCUUUCGUGUUCGAUUUGAUUGGUUUGUUCAUGGAAGCAAGGUUAAAAGGAACAGUUGGGGGUAUUCAUAUUCACUAGUUAGAGGUGAAAUUCUCGGAUUUAUGGAAGAUGAACAAGUGCGA